UCCGACCAGGGCCUGGCAUUGCCUGGGGGUGCUGGUAAAGGUCUUUGGUCAAGGGUACCUGGAUGAAUUCAUACUAAUGGUUCAGUAAGGUGACCGGGGGCCAGAACCAGGAGUCAGUAUUACAGUUCACCCACCCACCCCGAUUCUGGGAACAUUAACAAGAAAAACACUCACGCAUGCGCUGCCCACGUGCCCUUCAGGCGGGAUGAGAGAGGAAGCAAAGGGAACUGUCCAGGGAUAGUUGCCCAAACAAGUUCCGGCCCCGCCUCUAUGUUAAUGACAUGCAGAUAUAUGUAAAUUUGUAGACGCUACCGCUCAAACCUUUGGAAGAAAUGGGAUGACACAGGAACAGUUGCUAUGGAAACCCAAAUGCGACCCCCCUCUCCCCCCUACCGCACAAGCGAGCGUACAGACACGUGCACAAAGACCCAGGGUUCCUCGCUCCAUAGCCCAGAGGAUCACGGAGUCUCGGAGGGUGUGAACCGGAAGGACCCUCAGAAACUGCGUCCAGCCUGAGGGAAGCUGAGACCCGGAGAAAGUCGCGAGAGAGCAGCUUCGUGGGGCGCCCUCCACUGAAGCAGAGGGGAGCUGGGUGGCCAUUCCGGUCCCUGGGGACUCCUACUCGGGCCUAGCAACGUGAGCCCCGCCCAGCGUUGCUCAGCAACGUCCCUUGAGCCCAGCAACCGCCGACCACGCCCCCUAGCAACAGCUAGCCUAAUCCUUGCUCCUGGCCGCCUCGGCCAAAAGAAAGGCGAGGGAAGGGGCUUGUGGACUAGGGCCAAAACGUGGGUGGAGGUCGUGUUGUCCGGUCCCCGGCCUCAAAGCAGCCUGCAGGAUUUCGCUGUCCACCUCUAGCCCUCUUCGCUGGGUGAGGUGCUAUAGGGCCGCGUCAUCACGCCCAUUUGCAGGGGGCGAAACUGACUCUCCGAAAGGAAGUUCCAGCCGACAGUCCAGAGCUCCGGAUUCAGCACUGGGGAAGGAAUCAAAGACUCUCUUCUGGAGACCAUCUUUUGAACCUUCCGCCACAGAGGUCUGGACUCUGCUGUGUCUGGAAGCCCUGCCUUGGGGAGCAGCACAGCCAGCACCAGGCUUGAGUGAGCAGCUUCCAGGCCUGGGGAAAGAGGAAGCAGAGAGACUCAAGGCCUGUUUCCUCAUGUGUGAAAUCAAGAAACUGACAGUUACCAUUCUGAUGGGGUUACUUUGAGGACCAAAUGAACUAGUGGUACACUCAACACCAGCCACCACGAAGCCACAGCCUUCAGUGAAGAGAACGGACAGGCAGUACGCCAGGACCCCAAGAAGAGAAGGUCCUGUGUUCCCGGUGUGUAUGCUGAAACACUAGUCCAAGCCCGGCCCGGUGAGGGGGAACCGGCAGACUGCAGCGACUGGUUCCAACGUACCGAUGAGGAAA
Long non-coding RNA from Panthera uncia (snow leopard), 1411 nucleotides. RefSeq lists it as uncharacterized. NCBI's taxonomy places the organism in Eukaryota, Metazoa, Chordata, Mammalia, Carnivora, Felidae. The transcript is spliced from 6 exons. The record is from RefSeq and is a predicted model, not a curated record.